UUAGGAGAAAAAAAAAGGUUUUCUAACAAAGUGUAUUAAUUAAAUGUUACAACCUUGGAUUUUUGUAAAUUGAAUAAUAAGCACUCAUAAGGGUAAGUACAUGUGAAUUGAACAUUGCGUCAUUGAUCCCAGAUACUCAGGAAACCGGUCCAUACAUGAGAACAGAUAAUUCAUUUUUGACGCUCAUAUUGCAUCCAUUUUUGGUGAUUUUUGGAUUCAGCACAUGAAAAUGACUCUAAAACAGUUGGAAAACCUCAGACUAUUUUUUGCCCGUUGACCCCAGUGUAAUCAAGCAGCUAUUGUACAGGUUUCUUGGACAAUGCGUCUACGUUUGGAUCAAAUUUGGCUU
Xiphophorus hellerii (green swordtail) is the source of this 349-nucleotide long non-coding RNA. RefSeq lists it as uncharacterized. The record is from RefSeq and is a predicted model, not a curated record. The transcript has 2 exons. NCBI's taxonomy places the organism in Eukaryota, Metazoa, Chordata, Actinopteri, Cyprinodontiformes, Poeciliidae.